GUGAGGACUCGGGAGGUGGAGGGUGGCCCGGAGCCCCGUGCCGUCCCAGCGCUUUUCCCCCCACCUCCUCUCUCCUCAG
RNAcentral lists this microRNA precursor (79 nucleotides) under Octodon degus (degu). Its description in RNAcentral is "microRNA 1224 (ENSODEG00000022294.1)". It matches the Rfam family "mir-1224 microRNA precursor family". The record is from RNAcentral. Lineage: Eukaryota; Metazoa; Chordata; Mammalia; Rodentia; Octodontidae.